Molecule: long non-coding RNA, 1048 nt
Organism: Triticum dicoccoides
Lineage: Eukaryota; Viridiplantae; Streptophyta; Magnoliopsida; Poales; Poaceae
Exons: 3
Source: RefSeq, a predicted model, not a curated record
CCGCCGGCUACCGGAGCGCCGCCGCCGGAAGAGCGCGCCUCCAUGCCCUCUCUCCUUCUUCCCUCCCCUUCCUCCGGUUCUAUUUCUCACCUCCCUCUCUCUCUCUUUUGCAGGAAGCGGAAGCCAUGGCCGCCGCCCCGCCGCCCCGCGCCGGCCGGCCAUCGGAGCGCCGCUGCUGGACCAACGCGUCGCCCUGCCCUCCUCUCCUUCUCCCCCCUCCCUCCGGUUCUAUCUCUCACCUCCCUCUCUCUCUCUCUCCUUUGCAGAAAGCCACGGCCGCCGGACCUCCACGCCUCCGCGAGCCCGCCGCCGGCCUGUGACCUCUACGCUGCCUCCAGUCCUCUCCGGACUCCUCCGUCGUAUUCUUCUCAUUCUCCGACGCUGCCAAGUUCGCCCGAGGAAGAAGCGUCGAGUUCGCCGGAGGAACAAGAACAUCCGUCCAGCCGUCCAUUGUCGCCUGAGCUACAGCAGAGGUGCCAAAGGUGUCCGAUCUAACUAAGGUGGAGGCCAAGGAGGUUUAGCUCUCGGACAUUGCACCAAUGACGUUGGAUAAUACCGACAUGCAUACUGAGUGUACGCAUUGUGCAAGCUGGGAGAAAAGAGACUCCAGUGCAGCUCCUCUUUCUCUCCAUCUCUCUCUCUCUCCCUCUCAAGAUUAUUAGGGAAGGAGCGAUGGAUUGGGGUGGGUAGUGCUCUAGAUUAUUCGGUGGCCCUCAGCGGCAGAUCCUUGAAAGAAAGUUAAAAGAAGUCAAAUUUUUUUUGCAUACAACGUGUCAGCCUAGGAGUGAGCACCCACCAGCGCCUCAAAUGCAUGGCAUGGGCUAUAGCUUACCCCUUUAAUUCUUUCAUAUAUUAGAAGUAGACAAAUGCAAAUGUCCAUAGUAAUAAACUUGUGGUCACAAGAUUGCUAGCUUAAAGUUUGCUAGAUUAUGUAAAUGGGUAAUUUUGUUGCAUGCUUUUUAGGUUUCCAUAGUAUGACUCAUUCUACAUAAUGGCAGGCAAGAAAAAAUAAAAUAGCUUGACUAUUCCAUGCACAACUAUUCUUUCA